This 449-nucleotide ribosomal RNA is filed under the name uncultured bacterium. RNAcentral describes it as "partial 16S ribosomal RNA". It matches the Rfam family "Bacterial small subunit ribosomal RNA", at positions 338 to 795 of the family's 1533-position model. The record is from RNAcentral.
CCUACGGGUGGCUGCAGUGGGGAAUAUUGGACAAUGGGCGCAAGCCUGAUCCAGCAAUACCGCGUGUGUGAAGAAGGCCUUAGGGUUGUAAAGCACUUUCAAUGGGGAGGAAAACCUACCGGUCAAUACCCGGUAGCUUGACAUUACCUGUAGAAGAAGCACCGGCUAACUCCGUUCCAGCAGCCGCGGGAAUACGGAGGGUGCAUGCGUUGAUCGGAACUUGCGGGGGUAAAGCGUUAAGUCAGAUGUCAACGCCCCGGGCUUAACCUGGGAACUGCAUUUGAAACUGGCGGACUAGAGUUGAGUAGAGGGGAGUGGAAUUUCAGGUGUAGCGGUGAAAUGCGUAGAUAUCUGAAGGAACACCAGUGGCGAAGGCGACUCCCUGGACUCAAACUGACGCUGAGGUACGAAAGCGUGGGUAGCAAACAGGAUUAGAUACCCGAGUAGUC